GCUGUAGCGCCUUUUAGUGCUGCGUAUCCCUGCAUCCGCAUCAUCCAUUUCUGGCAUCGGCAUCAUGUUGGACAUUUUGGUGCUGAUGUUCUUCGCCAUCGUGGGGCUCGUCUUCCUGUCCUACAUCAUCUACAUGCUGUGAUGGGCGCGCUGCUGCACGGAUGUAAGGAGGAUGUGCGCUUUACCUGGCCUGCAUCCCCGCUUCCCAUCAUGGACAGCGGGAGGAGAGCUGGCCCAUAAUGGUUUCCCUUCGGCAAAAUCAACUGGGACGUGAAGAGCAAUCCAGUGGAGAGAAGAGACAGCUGGAGAAGAAAUGCAAGCUGGACUCCUCCUCUCUCUCUGCCCCCUCCACCACCACCACCACCACAACCCCCCCUGUGCUGUUUUCCCUCUCCUCUUUUUUUGGCUAUCUGUAGUUUGGCUGAUGUCUAAUUACAGGGGUGUCAGUCUAUUCUAAUACCCUCACUUGUAUUUUACUCUGAACUGACCUUUGUGUUUUCUGUUCCUCAUGCCUGUGGUUCUCCUGUGAAGAGGGGGCAUCAUACCCGUGCGCAAGUCUUCUGAAAUUGUAGAAAGGAUUUAUACGAUUGCGUGUAAUGCAGAUGUAGAAUUUGCCUUCCAGUUGCACUGUGAGCUACGUGUUUGCUCAGACUGCCCCGAGCAGUUUGGCAUUAUCAUACAUGUAAGUGUGUGUGUGGCCAACCCCCUUUGCGCUCAUUCUUGGUUUUGUUUUUUUCCAGGUUUAUGUUAGGUUGUUGCAGCAAAUAGUUGGAGAGACUCGGUUUUCUUGGUGGCUCUGGACAGUUCUCAUAUUUGCUGGCACCCUGUUUGCCCUCAGUGUUGAUUUUUCCCUCUUCAUGUUCUGCCCAUAUUAAUGUUGUCCUGCUCAUUACAAUCCACAACCAGGUCAAAAGGGAAUAUGUCAGCGCAAUAACUCAGUAUCUCUGCCAUAAUGAUGAUAUAUCUCUUCCACUUAACACAGUCGCUCUGAUGUCAUUACCAAUAGCCAACAAUUCUGUUAAUUGAUGCUACAAUCAAACUGAUAUGACUCAGUAUUUUUUGUCACAUGGAUUACUUUUGGCUAUGAAUGACAUGCAGCGGUGUUACCUGAAGAGCAAUGGUUCGAGUUGCAAAAUGCAUCUGGAUGCUUCUCAGUUUUAUUACCAAAUAUAAUUACUCAUUACAUGAUUAUGUUGUUGCUGCAUACGAGCAAGUGUUAAGUUUACCGGUGCCAAAGUUAAUGGCAGUGUUUCACAUGAUAUGUCGAAUAAAGAUGAUUUCACUAUAA
This is a long non-coding RNA of Myripristis murdjan (pinecone soldierfish), 1288 nucleotides long. RefSeq lists it as uncharacterized. Lineage: Eukaryota; Metazoa; Chordata; Actinopteri; Holocentriformes; Holocentridae. The transcript has 2 exons. The record is from RefSeq and is a predicted model, not a curated record.